CUGCCUUGUCCUUGCCUGCAGAAGUGCAAAUCACAUGUAUUUCUCAGCAGCUUUGAAUUCUGUUCUGCUGAUAAUGAUACUCAAAAACUCAGUGAAGGAGGUGAUCUAAGAAUGAAUGAGGUGCUGCACAAAUGUUGGUGAAACGGAAAUACUCAGGGAUUCUGGAAGGGAAAAUAUGGUCAUGUUCCAAGAAGAAAGAAGAUAGACGCUGUGCACCUGUUUCAAAAGAUUUGGAAGAGAGAUUUGAGGAAAGAAGACCUAGCAAUCAGCAGAAUACUCGAGAGCUUCUGGCAUGGUGAAAUACAAAGGCUGGUAAAUGAGGUUGGAGAGGGGAAGAUUCUUCGCGUUGAGGCAGGUGGUUAGUGAUAGACAGGAGGUUGGAUGGGAUUUUGAUGGUAAGGUGUAAGGAGGGUGCAUCUCCACGUGUGCUAAGGACCAUGCAGAUAUUAGAACAUAUCUUCACAUCUGAGGUGUGAGUUGCCUGGAAGGUAUGCUAGUGUGUCCAGUGCUAGCAAGCCCUUGUGGCCAAAAAUUCAAAACCUCCUGUCUUUCCACCAGUAAAACGAAAGUUAUUGAAAAGCAGAGCAAAAUAAAGGUGGCUUACAAUAUACCCUCACCUUGAAGCCAUCUUCUUGAGCAUCUCCCUGAGGCUCUUCUUAAGCCUCUUGAGGCUUUUGGAAGUACAUUCUCAAGCAUAUUCAUACAGCUACAGAAAUAAGGAAUUUAUCUCUUUUUUUUUAAUCUUAUUUUUUAACACUUCAAAGCUUGUGGAACUCUGGGCAAAACUCUGAAUUUUUCAGGUCAGUUACCAUUGCAGGAGUUGGCUGCAGUGACUUACGUGGUAUGGCACUGUUAGCACGGGGAUUGAACUUUAGGGGGUUGCUUUCUCUAAGGUUUGUUCUUUCUCAUCUCCUUAUAUAAGGACUUUCAUUUCUAUCCUCACUAGGGAUAAAAUUUACAAAAUACUUCCAACUAUUCUUUUUACAAGACGUUUCUGAUAUUCAAUCAGAAUCACAGAAUCAUAGGAGUUGGAAGGGACCUCUGGAGAUCAUCUAGUCCAAACCCCUGAUAAAACAGUUCCCUAAAAGUUCUGUUACCAAAGGACUCAAGUUGUGCCAGGGGAGGUUCAGGUUGAUAUAUUAGGAAAAAUUUAUUCUCUGAAAGAGUGGUGAGGCACUGGAACAGGCUGCCCAGGGAGAUGGUGAAGUCACCGUCCCUGGAGGUGUUCAAGGAAUGUUAGAUGCUGUACUAAGGGACAUGGUUUAGUAUUAGGGAAAUAUUGGCAAUAACUGGAUGGUUGGACUUGAAUGAUCUUGCAGAUCUUUUCCAACUUUGGUGAUUCUAUGACUGAUCUAUUUAUCAGGAAAAUUUUAGAUUUAUAUCAGAAAUAAGAAUUUUGUAGUAAUUUUUAUUUUGUAAUUGGUUUCCUUAGCCACUCGGUAAAUGGAGAGAAGCACCUGUGUUUUUAAUUUUGAUGCUUGCUACAAUUUCUGACUUCAUAGGAUUUGAAGAGUCCUAGCCUCUUCCUCUCAAAGAAAACCCCCAAAGCAAAAACUUAUGACUUUAUAGAACUCCCAGCAGGCCAAUUGGAAUAAAGGCACUGUCCUAUGGCUGUUUUGGUAUCAUCUGUGUGAGGCGCCUUAUUUUGAUUCUCUGACGUCUUUCAGAGGAUUUUAUUUGAGCACACAGCAAUUACAGAAGUUAUCCUGUAACCACAAUAUCCUUUUCCAUUCAUUCUUUGUAAGAGACAAAAGUGCUGCCUAAUUUCAAAGAAGAGUAAAUGUGUCCUCUGCUGGCAAAUGGGCAGCGGGUGACAAUAAAGGUUGUGGUAGUUUUCCUACUUAGCAUCUGAAAUAAGAAGAAAGCAGUGCUGCACAUGUUCUACUAGCAUGAAAUAGGGGGCACAUGUGGCGUAUUCCAGGGUCUUUCAGUGAAGUCAGACUACGAAACAGAGAAAACCAACCCUUGUGGAGUGGUAUUGUUCCAAAGCAUAAGAGGGCUGUUCGGAAAGUAUUGCCUCCCAUGUUAUUGUGUUGGCCCACAAGGUCAGAGGAAGAUGUUGGUAUAGAAGUAAAGACUGAACCUUCACACCAGUAUUCCAUCACUUUUUGUUCCUGUGUAAUAGAUGGCAGCAGAGGGGCAGUCCAACAGUCAAAUAACUGGUGCAAUGAUCAUGGCCUAUAUGUAAUUGCUUUUAAUGUGUAGUUUUCUGUAGAUAUAUGUUUGAGUUGAAAAAAAAAUAAUAAUAAUGUGGCUAGUCUCUGGACCACUUAAAAUGUCUUGGUAUGUUGUUUAUUUUAUCACUAUUUUAGAAUCAUGGCUGACAGAAGUAUUCUUUUAGGAGAUGGGAGAGAAAGAGCAUCUGUGACCAUUUCAUUGGAUAAGAGGAGUAGAAAACGGAGCUAGUAAUGAAUGAUAGCUUGGUGAAAUACAUCUUUGAAGUUUAUAACACAAGCAUAAAUUCGCAAAACUUUGACUGAAAGGUAAAGUUUUUUACAACAGUAUGGUUCAUAUGUUUUGUUCUGAGAAUAAGAUUGUUAUCAAAUGACGCACAUUGCUGCCAGCACUGUUCUAUUGACAAAAUGUUUAUGUGGAUACUUUGCUGUGGAAAUAUUUCCUCUCUUAUCCUGAUGAUGCUGAUGAUACCAAUCAGAGCAGAACCCUCCUCCUGGGUGCAUGUGCACCUCUUAAAAAUCCAUCUAAUGAUGCAGUUCUGAAUAAUGGUUGCUUACUAUACUGCUUACUGUACACUUGCUAAACACAAUCUCACUCAUCUCUGUGCAGGGCCAUUCUUCUCUUUGGUUCUACAGACAGAAACUAGUUAAUAUAAAUUUAAUUUUCAAAUGUAGCACGCUGGGAGAAUAAGGGCUCUUAUAUCCUCUAUUUGUGAAGUAUAUUUUGCAGAAUAUUUUGCCCUUGUAGUUGAGAAAAAGGAAAAUGAGAUGCCAGGUCUAAGCCAUCACAACACAAUAUAUUAAGAGGAGGCAGUAUUUCUCCCAGUUUAUGUUAAUAUGCAAGGCUGUGAACAGUGAUGGUGGAAGGCUGUGCUAUUUCACACAGAGGUGUAUGGCACAUGAAGAAGUUUCUUCCUGUGCAAGAGAGCAAUGGCCUCUUCAGCUAAGUCUGUCUUUCCACAGAUAAGUCUGACAGAGCCCGUGAAUCAGAACCUCGGAAUGUUCUAAGGUCUCCUUCACAGAUAAUACAAAGAUGUUUUGUAUUUGUUCUCAUAUCUAAACUAUUCAGAAUCAGUACAGCCCUCGUCCCUUCGUUCCUUGCUUUUGCAAUGAUGUUCUUCCACUCCGAUUGGGCAAGUGUUAUAUAAAACACCAUGUGACUUGAUGAUAGGAAUAUUUCGUUCACUGAAGUCCUCAGUAAUCAUGAGGCAAAGUCCAUUUGAUCCACCAAAUGAAUAUUCAUUAGUGGUCAUGCACAUAGCUAUGUGGUAAUUAAAUGCUUCUUUUCUGGUGACCACAUCCUCCUGAUCAAGGAAAAAGAGGCAGGGAAAAAAAGGGGAAGCAAAUAGGAAUUACACUGCUAUCGUGCUGGUGUUGGGAGAGGAAGGGGAGAAUAAGCUUCCUAGUGUUUUAAGCUUCUCUCUUCCCAAACAGAUAAAUAAAUCAAUGGCUGUGUCUGCAUUUACAGUAAAAAAAGGAAUUCUGUUAUCCAUGAGACCUGUCUAUAUAGGAGGUACAAUAGCACUCCUCUUUCUCCUGGCUUUGUUUUCAGUGUUUUAUAUUUUGAAAUGUCUUCUGCAAUGUCUUUUCUGCAUAAGAACAUAAAAACUAGGAAGUGUACUUGUGCAGCUUCUUUUGCUGCUUUGUCAGUCUGAAAUCAAUGUUUGCAAGCAGCAAUUUCUGUUAAGACAAGAAUUCAGUGCUCUUAAAAAUGAGGAAUUGUGUGAGCUGAGUAGGCUUUUUGGUGAAGGCAUGCAUCCACACUAAAUGGAUGUGUGUAUGUAUGUAUUUAUAUGCAUGCACAGAAAUCAGGCCAUCUGCAGGACUGUUCAAAUAAAAGCAACUGAAGUUAAUUCAAUUAAUGCUGUUCAAAGGACGAUGCCUUUAGCAAUCUCUUCUUCCCUGUAUUCUUAGUAUGUGGGAAGGAUUUUCUUUCUAGCUCUGUACGUUGGGCAUUUUUUUUUUUUUUGACAAGUCAUUCCUCAGUUCAGAUUUUUCUUAGCUACAGCAUUCGCCAAGACAUUAUUUCUUAUGUAGUUCUACCAAUCUAGUUCAACUUUUUCCAUUCAGAACAUGCAUCUUUCUCUUUCCUAGGGUAGGCACCCUCAUAAAACUAUGGUGUUCUUUUUUUU
Molecule: long non-coding RNA, 4306 nt
Organism: Lagopus muta (rock ptarmigan)
Lineage: Eukaryota; Metazoa; Chordata; Aves; Galliformes; Phasianidae
Exons: 3
Source: RefSeq, a predicted model, not a curated record